CACGUAGGGCGCGAGCGUUGUCCGGAAUUAUUGGGCGUAAAGAGCUCGUAGGCGGCCUGUUGCGUCCGCUGUGAAAGCCCGGGGCUUAACCCCGGGUCUGCAGUGGAUACGGGCAGGCUAGAGGUAGGUAGGGGAGAAUGGAAUUCCCGGUGUAGCGGUGAAAUGCGCAGAUAUCAGGAGGAACACCGGUGGCGAAGGCGGGUCUCUGGGCCGAUAUUGACGCUGAGGAGCGAAAGCAUGGGGAGCGAACAGG
This 253-nucleotide ribosomal RNA is filed under the name uncultured bacterium. RNAcentral's name for it is "partial 16S ribosomal RNA". It matches the Rfam family "Bacterial small subunit ribosomal RNA", at positions 524 to 776 of the family's 1533-position model. The record is from RNAcentral.